CCUACGGGAGGCAGCAGUGAGGAAUAUUGGUCAAUGGGCGUAAGCCUGAACCAGCCAAGUCGCGUGGGGGAUGAAGGUUCUAUGGAUCGUAAACCUCUUUUAUACGGGAAUAAAGUGUGGGACGUGUCCUAUUUUGUAUGUACCUUAUGAGUAAGGAUCGGCUAACUCCGUGCCAGCAGCCGCGGUACUACGGAGGAUCCGAGCGUUAUCCGGAUUUAUUGGGUUUAAAGGGUGCGUAGGCGGGCUUUUAAGUCAGCGGUGAAAGUCUGUGGCUCAAACAUGGAAUUGCCUUUGAAACUGGGGGGCUUGAGUAUGUUCGAGGCAGGCGGAAUGCGUGGUGUAGCGGUGAAAUGCUUAGAUAUAACGCAGAACCACGGUUGCGAAGGCAGCCUGCCAAGCCAUGACUGACGGUGAUGCACGAAAGCGUGGGGAUCAAACAGGAUUAGAUACCCGUGUAGUC
Molecule: ribosomal RNA, 460 nt
Filed under: uncultured bacterium
Lineage: Bacteria
Description: partial 16S ribosomal RNA
Rfam family: Bacterial small subunit ribosomal RNA
Source: RNAcentral